UGCCACAGCCAUAUCACUCUGCAGCCCAAGACUGGUUGCCCACUGAAGCUAAGCAGGGUUGAGCCUGGUCAGUACCUGGAUGGGAGACCUCCUGGGAAAAGUAGGUUGUUGUUGGAA
This 117-nucleotide ribosomal RNA is filed under the name Sinocyclocheilus grahami. The record is from RNAcentral. Lineage: Eukaryota; Metazoa; Chordata; Actinopteri; Cypriniformes; Cyprinidae.